AUUGAACGCUGGCGGAAUGCUUUACACAUGCAAGUCGAACGGCAGCACGGACUUCGGUCUGGUGGCGAGUGGCGAACGGGUGAGUAAUGUAUCGGAACGUGCCCAGCCGUGGGGGGUAACGUAGGGAAAAUUACGCUAAUACCGCAUACGAUCUAUGGAUGAAAGCGGGGGAUCGCAAGACCUCGCGCGAUUGGAGCGGCCGACAUCAGAUUAGGUGGUUGGUGGGGUAAAGGCCCAGCAAGCCAACGAUCUGUAGCUGGUCUGAGAGGACGACCAGCCACACUGGAACUGAGACACGGUCCAGACUCCUACGGGAGGCAGCAGUGGGGAAUUUUGGGCAAUGGGCGAAAGCCUGAUCCAGCCAUUCCGCGUGCAGGAUGAAGGCCCUCGGGUUGUAAACUGCUUUUGUACAGAACGAAAAGGUUUCUACUAAUACUAGGAGCUCAUGACGGUACUGUAAGAAUAAGCACCGGCUAACUACGUGCCAGCAGCCGCCGCUG
RNAcentral lists this ribosomal RNA (500 nucleotides) under uncultured bacterium. RNAcentral's name for it is "partial 16S ribosomal RNA". It matches the Rfam family "Bacterial small subunit ribosomal RNA", at positions 30 to 523 of the family's 1533-position model. The record is from RNAcentral.